RNAcentral lists this long non-coding RNA (233 nucleotides) under Brassica rapa (field mustard). RNAcentral's name for it is "long non-coding RNA (BRAP_LNC002227)". The record is from RNAcentral. Lineage: Eukaryota; Viridiplantae; Streptophyta; Magnoliopsida; Brassicales; Brassicaceae.
AUUGGUGUUUAGUAGAGUAGUAACAAACAGAAGAAGAAACAAAAACAAGGGUAGGCAGUAAGAUGUGAAUGGUAUUUAAUUGGGCUUAUUUACCAAAUAACUAAAAAAAAAAAGAAAAUUUAGAUUUUGGGAGAGAGAGUAGAGAGAGAUAGGAAGAGAAAAUAGGAGAGGGGAGGAAAUUUUGGUUAGUUAGUAUAUUUAUGUUUUUUUCAUGUAUAUAGGGCGCAAUUUCC